AUUCAGCUGACGAGUCCCAAAUAGGACGAAGCGAAGCGCGUUCUUGAU
Molecule: non-coding RNA, 48 nt
Filed under: Schistosoma curassoni
Lineage: Eukaryota; Metazoa; Platyhelminthes; Trematoda; Strigeidida; Schistosomatidae
Source: RNAcentral